AAACUGUGAGGUGAUAACCUGCUUUUGUCAGGGGAUGGAGAGGUGGUUUAGUAGUUAAUAGCACAUGCUGCUUUUGCAAAAGACCAUUCCCAACACCCACAUCUCCCAACACCCACAUCAUGUGGUUCACAACCACCUGGAACUCUCGUGCCAAGGGAUCUGACAGCCGCUUUUGACCUCUGAGGUUGCAAGGCACAAAUGCAAGCACUCACAUGUACACAUAGAAUUAAAACAAAAAAAAUAUGUUUUAAAAUUUCCUGUCACUUAAACCACUGAGUUUGUGAUACUCUUACAGCAAUCGCUAACACUGUAUGAAAAUAAAGUUUUCUCUCUGUGUUUAAGGCUGAUAGAUUCUUUCUGGAAGCAAAUCGAAAGAAUAAGAUUGUUCUCCAUUGUUCUGGUGAUUCCAGUCAACACAACUGAUGUCAAAUGUGAUUUUUUUUAAAUUGUGUCAUAAUGACUGAAAGAUACCUAGUAAACUACACACACACACACACACAUACACACACACACACACACACACACACACACACACACAUAUAAAAUCUUCCUGUACCUGCCUUAGCCCCACCCCCUGCUGUAUCUUUCUCCAGAAUUUGGGCAUGGCUUUAGAGUGUGCACCUUUAACCAGUCCACUAGCUUGCUCAUGUUCCCAGGUUAGUUUCCCUUUCUAAAUAUUGUCUGUGUUUCUGUUUGUUUUUAUAAUUUUUCCACUUUACUUUAUUUUCUGUGUACAGGUGUUUGGUCUGCACAUGUCUGUGCACCAUGUGUAUGCCUGGUGCCUGAAGAAAAGGCCAUUAGAUCCCCUGGAACUGGAGUUAUACAUGGUUAGGAGCCACUAUGUAGGUGCUAUGACUCAAACCUGGGUCCUCUGGUAGAGCAGUUAACUCUCAGCUCUCUUAAAAAUAACACACACACACACACCUACACACACAAAGACACUUGACAUGCAUCCUAUCUAGCAAAGUAGAAUGUAUUCAGGGGUUUUAGUGUUAUAUUAAGCCAGCGUCAGCAAAUAGUAAAAUGGGCAAGGCCUGCUAACCAACUCUCUUUGUAAGAAGUUUGGUUGGGACACAGCCACAUAUGUUUAUCUGUGUGUUAUGCAAGGUUAAAGCCAUGCUACAAGAACAGAGCUGAAUGGUUGUCCUGAAAGUUUCGUGACUCCUGAGCCUAAAUGGGCUAUCUGGUCUGUGAAGAAUUUGCUAGGUCCUACUUUAGAAAACUUUGUGGUUUUUGUUUUUAGUGUUGUUGCUUAAGAUUUAUCUUGACGUUUAUUUAUGUAUAUGUGUGUGGGCCUAAGUAUAUAUCUGUACCAUGUGUGUACAGGUCACUGUGGAGACCAGAAGAGGCACUGGGUCCCCUGGAGCUGGUAUUACAUGUUGUUCUGAGUAUUCCAGGGUGGGUGCUAGGGAUCAAACCCAGGUCCUCUACAAAAGCAGCCAAUGCACUUAGUGUCAGAGUUGUCUGCUAAGCCCCGUGACUAAGUCUGAAUCAGUGAGUUUGGCAAUAUAGGUGAGAUGAGAUAAGGUUACAGACUUGGCUUGGUUUGGGCGAUGAGUUGUUAGAAAGAAUCCUGACCAUUUCUGAGUAAAACAAAGAUGAGAAAAACAAAGAUACUGGGACUUGUAGAAGACACUGUCAGGACCUGACUUUCUAGAAAUAUACAGACAUAGUUGUUGAGUAUAUGCAGCAAUACCAUGCAAGAAUAACAGGCUUCCUCUGCUGGCUCAUUGCUGGCAGGUCCAGGCAAGAAGGGAGAGGUCUGGGUCCCGCCAGGGUCUCUCUGGGGCUGAGUGGGAAGUCGAGUGUCAAUGGCCCAAAGGAAACACACCAAAGAGCCUUGUUGAAGCAGGAACUCGACUUUAUGGCAUCAGCCUCUUGCUUAUAUAAGUUCAGAACACAGGAAGGGGGAUCUUUGGUGGAUAAGAUGAUGUAGGAGGCAGGGAAGGGUGCCGGAGGGUAUGGAGUGACUGACAGGGUCAAUGGCAAAGCUCUGCAUCAGCAAUGGCAGGGCCAAACAGGUCUUCCUGAGUCACCCUGAUACAGAAGUGACUAGCCAGGCUCAGGUUUAUAAUCAAGGCCCAAACCAGUGCCAAAAUGGGGCUCACCAUUCCUCUAGUUCAUACCUAAGAUAAGGUAGUAAUUGUAAUACUUAUAGCCCACCAAUUUAGUUCUAUGCCCCAGCUCCUGAGAACUGUUACUGUUCUUAUGCUAACCAUACUAGUUUCCUGUUGCUUAUAACAAACUAUCACAAAAUUACUGACUAAACAGAAGACACUUUGCCUUUAUGGUUUUGUAGGUUAGGGGGCCAGCGGGCAUGUUGCAAUGCUAAGAUCUAGGUGUUUACAAGGCACUUUGCCUAGGAAAUGGGCUGUAGGGUGAGCACACGUUCUGCUGCUUCAGAUUGCUGCAGGAUCGAUCGGCUUCUUGCAUUUGGAUGACUAGGUUCAUGCUAUCCUUCUGGCUGCUAGAUGGGGUUACCCCAGCUGCAUCCUGUAGCCCAUAAUCUCCUUUCUCUAUGUAUGACAUUGGCAGCAGGAUCAAGUCCUUCCCAUACUUCUAAUCUCCUUCCCACUGUGAAAGGCUUAUGUGAGUAGGGUAACGUAGCCUCCAUGUGAAACCUUCAUAUUACAUCAGCUGUAUUCAAUGUCACUUCCCUUUUGCUAUUAACGUGACAUAUUUAUGCCUUCUGGGGAUUUGGACAUGGACAAAUAUUCUUGGGAAACUGUACCAAUACUGCAU
RNAcentral lists this long non-coding RNA (2742 nucleotides) under Mus musculus (house mouse). RNAcentral describes it as "long non-coding RNA chr18:52901712-52904454". Lineage: Eukaryota; Metazoa; Chordata; Mammalia; Rodentia; Muridae. The record is from RNAcentral.